AGCGUCUGGAAAGGCGCGCGAUACAGGGUGACAGCCCCGUACACAAAAGCGUAUGUGCUGUGAGCUCGAUGAGUAGGGCGGGACACGUGGUAUCCUGUCUGAAUAUGGGGGGACCAUCCUCCAAGGCUAAAUACUCCUGACUGACCGAUAGUGAACCAGUACCGUGAGGGAAAGGCGAAAAGAACCCCGGCGAGGGGAGUGAAAAAGAACCUGAAACCGUGUACGUACAAGCAGUGGGAGCCCCACCACUAAGCCAGUGGUGAACUCCACAUACGCAUCCUUUGCUGAGGAUACGGUUAACGGAGCGAAAGCGACGUUCAACCGCAAAAGAAGCAGAGGGGGCUUAGUGGUGGGGUGACUGCGUACCUUUUGUAUAAUGGGUCAGCGACUUAUAUUCUGUAGCAAGGUUAACCGAAUAGGGGAGCCGGAGGGAAACCGAGUCUUAACCGGGCGUUAAGUUGCAGGGUAUAGACCCGAAACCCGGUGAUCUAGCCAUGGGCAGGUUGAAGGUUGGGUAACACUAACUGGAGGACCGAACCGACUAAUGUUGAAAAAUUAGCGGAUGACCUGUGGCUGGGGGUGAAAGGCCAAUCAAACCGGGAGAUAGCUGGUUCUCCCCGAAAGCUAUUUAGGUAGCGCCUCGUGAAUUCAUCUCCGGGGGUAGAGCACUGUUUCGGCUAGGGGGCCAUCCCGGCUUACCAACCCGAUGCAAACUGCGAAUACCGGAGAAUGUUAUCACGGGAGACACACGGCGGGUGCUAACGUCCGUCGUGAAGAGGGAAACAACCCAGACCGCCAGCUAAGGUCCCAAAGUCAUGGUUAAGUGGGAAACGAUGUGGGAAGGCCCAGACAGCCAGGAUGUUGGCUUAGAAGCAGCCAUCAUUUAAAGAAAGCGUAAUAGCUCACUGGUCGAGUCGGCCUGCGCGGAAGAUGUAACGGGGCUAAACCAUGCACCGAAGCUGCGGCAGCGAACGUAUC
RNAcentral lists this ribosomal RNA (978 nucleotides) under Salmonella enterica subsp. enterica serovar Dublin. RNAcentral's name for it is "partial 23S ribosomal RNA". It matches the Rfam family "Bacterial large subunit ribosomal RNA", at positions 337 to 1218 of the family's 2925-position model. Lineage: Bacteria; Pseudomonadati; Pseudomonadota; Gammaproteobacteria; Enterobacterales; Enterobacteriaceae. The record is from RNAcentral.